GAUGAACGCUGGCGGCGUGCCUAAUACAUGCAAGUCGAGCGAAUGGAUCAAGAGCUUGCUCUUAUGAAGUUAGCGGCGGACGGGUGAGUAACACGUGGGUAACCUGCCCAUAAGACUGGGAUAACUCCGGGAAACCGGGGCUAAUACCGGCUAACAUUUUGAACCGCAUGGUUCGAAAUUGAAAGGCGGCUUCGGCUGUCACUGAUGGAUGGACCCGCGUCGCAUUAGCUAGUUGGUGAGGUAACGGCUCACCAAGGCAACGAUGCGUAGCCGACCUGAGAGGGUGAUCGGCCACACUGGGACUGAGACACGGCCCAGACUCCUACGGGAGGCAGCAGUAGGGAAUCUUCCGCAAUGGACGAGAGUCUGACGGAGCAACGCCGCGUGAGUGAUGAAGGCUUUCGGGUCGUAAAACUCUGUUGUUAGGGAAGAACAAGUGCUAGUUGAAUAAGCUGGCACCCUGACGGUACCUAACCAGAAAGCCACGGCUAACUACGUGCCAGCCGCCGCCGUAA
Molecule: ribosomal RNA, 515 nt
Filed under: uncultured bacterium
Lineage: Bacteria
Description: partial 16S ribosomal RNA
Rfam family: Bacterial small subunit ribosomal RNA
Source: RNAcentral